GUGCUUGCUUCACCAACACAUACAAUAAAAUUGGAACAAUGUGGAGAAGAUUAGCAUGGCCCUGUACAAGGAUGACAUAAAAAUUUGUGAAACAUUUCAUUAAAAA
Molecule: small nuclear RNA, 106 nt
Organism: Physeter macrocephalus (sperm whale)
Lineage: Eukaryota; Metazoa; Chordata; Mammalia; Artiodactyla; Physeteridae
Source: Ensembl